This 484-nucleotide ribosomal RNA is filed under the name uncultured bacterium. Its description in RNAcentral is "partial 16S ribosomal RNA". It matches the Rfam family "Bacterial small subunit ribosomal RNA", at positions 29 to 507 of the family's 1533-position model. The record is from RNAcentral.
AUUGAACGCUGGCGGCAUGCUUUACACAUGCAAGUCGAACGGCAGCGCGGGCUUCGGCCUGGCGGCGAGUGGCGAACGGGUGAGUAAUGCAUCGGAACGUGCCCAGUAGUGGGGGAAAGCCCGGCGAAAGCCGGAUUAAUACCGCAUACGACCUGAGGGUGAAAGCGGGGGACCGAAAGGCCUCGCGCUAUGGGAGCGGCCGAUGUCGGAUUAGCUAGUUGGUGGGGUAAAGGCUUACCAAGGCGGCGAUCCGUAGCUGGUCUGAGAGGACGACCAGCCACACUGGGACUGAGACACGGCCCAGACUCCUACGGGAGGCAGCAGUGGGGAAUUUUGGACAAUGGAGGCAACCCUGAUCCAGCCAUGCCGCGUGCGGGAAGAAGGCCUUCGGGUUGUAAACCGCUUUUGUUCGGGAAGAAAUCCUCUGGGCUAAUACCCCGGGGGGAUGACGGUACCGGAAGAAUAAGCACCGGCUAACUACGUG